RNAcentral lists this ribosomal RNA (492 nucleotides) under uncultured bacterium. RNAcentral's name for it is "partial 16S ribosomal RNA". It matches the Rfam family "Bacterial small subunit ribosomal RNA", at positions 29 to 507 of the family's 1533-position model. The record is from RNAcentral.
AGUGAACGCUGGCGGUAGGCCUAACACAUGCAAGUCGAACGGCAGCACAGUAAGAGCUUGCUCUUACGGGUGGCGAGUGGCGGACGGGUGAGUAAUACAUCGGAAUCUACUUUUUCGCGGGGGCUAACGUAGGGAGAGUUCUGCUAAUACAGCAUACGACCUACGGGUGGAAGCAGGGGAUCUUCGGACUUUGUGCGUUUGGAUGAGCCGAUGUCGGAUUAGUUAGUUGGCGUGGUCAAGGCCCACCAAGGCGACUAUCGGUACCUGGCCUGAGCGGAUGGCUCGCCACAUUGUAACAGAGACUGGGUCCAGACACCGACACGAGGACGCAGUGGGGAAUAUUGGGCGAUGGAGGCAAGCCUAAUCCAGCCAUACCGCGUGGGUGAAGAAGGCCUUCUGGUUGUAAAGCCCUUUUGUUGGGAAAGAAAAGCAGCAGGUUAAUACCCCGCUGUUCUGACGGUACCCAAAGAAUAAGCACCGGCUAACUUCGUG